This 140-nucleotide long non-coding RNA is filed under the name Macaca nemestrina (pig-tailed macaque). RNAcentral describes it as "lncRNA (ENSMNEG00000045745.1)". Lineage: Eukaryota; Metazoa; Chordata; Mammalia; Primates; Cercopithecidae. The record is from RNAcentral.
ACAUUAUCCUGCUGAUGGUUUCUCUCUGGUUCCUGAGGCUCUACCUGCAUUACCUGGGCCAGUGGCUUUUCCUCCAGGCCAUUUCAACUCCUGUUACAAAAUUCCAUUUUUCUCUUCACACCAUUGAGCUUCGCUACCCA